RNAcentral lists this ribosomal RNA (284 nucleotides) under Lodderomyces orthopsilosis. RNAcentral's name for it is "Candida orthopsilosis partial large subunit ribosomal RNA". It matches the Rfam family "Eukaryotic large subunit ribosomal RNA", at positions 251 to 544 of the family's 3401-position model. The record is from RNAcentral. Lineage: Eukaryota; Fungi; Ascomycota; Pichiomycetes; Serinales; Debaryomycetaceae.
GUUCCUUCGAAGAGUCGAGUUGUUUGGGAAUGCAGCUCUAAGUGGGUGGUAAAUUCCAUCUAAAGCUAAAUAUUGGCGAGAGACCGAUAGCGAACAAGUACAGUGAUGGAAAGAUGAAAAGAACUUUGAAAAGAGAGUGAAAAAGUACGUGAAAUUGUUGAAAGGGAAGGGCUUGAGAUCAGACUUGGUAUUUUGUAUGUUACUCUCUCGGGGGUGGCCUCUACAGUUUACCGGGCCAGCAUCAGUUUGGGCGGUAGGACAAUUGCAAAGAAAUGUGGCACUGC